UGCGGGGCCCCGCCCUAGGAUAACGCCCUGCGAGUCCUGCCAGCUCUAGACCGCCGCCUGCGCCAGGGACAGAUAAGGACCGCUUUGAUUUUUUUUUUUCUACCACUGAUUUGAGGAAGGCGUGUAAGGUGUAUAGGGUUUAUAGAGUGCCAAGGCGAUGACUCUCUCACAGUGUAGAGCCAGGGGUUGCAUCCUGUGAAGUUUAGCUGUUAUCCUCUACCUGGCAAGGAAGGUCAAGCAAGAGUCUGAGGCAGGGGGAUCUCAAGUUGGAGACCAAUGUGAGCCACGUGAGUGAGUUCAGAGGAAGACACUCUCCAAAACGAACAGCAAAAAGGAUGGACAAUUGGCAUUCAAGUACAGAGUGGGGUUUUCAGGAGCCAGAGCGCUGCGGUUCUGUGACAGAGCAAGCAUUUUUGACAAGCACCUUUGCACUGCUAGAUCUUUUCAGGGUUUUGAAGUUGGAGGUGGCGGUGGUUUAUCCCAGCAUAAAAAAAUAGGUGCACUUGGCUUUACUGGCAGGAACCUUCUUGCACCAUCACUGUCAAAACUGAUCACAUGCCGGACCCUGAGGGAAGAGUAGGACCCUGAAACCAACAAAAUCAGGAUGACACGGUAAACCAUCUGUUUUAUCCAGCCAUUAAGAAAUAAUAAUGCGACCAAUGAUCCAAGCAAGAGGGGCUGCCAGGCCCACUGUGCCCAGCUCUCCAUCAGUUCGGUAUCUGGGGGGUGAAGGAAGAUUGGUUUUGGCAGCCUGUCUGCCAACACCUGACAUCUGUUACCAGGAGCCCCCAAAUGCUGCUCAUAGCGGCCAGCCUUUUCACCGACGGACAUCCAAAGGACGCCUUCUCAGCCUGGCGUGCUUCUGGGGACCUCACCAUUAUUUGAAGACAUGCAACCACUAAUCCUUUUUCAUGCCUUGCCGUUUAGCCUGUCACUUCAUAGAGGGAAAGAACUCUUUCUGAGGCCAAGUUCACUGCUGUUUGGGAGAAUGGCAAAGGCAUGAAGGGAUCUUAGGAAAGUCACAGUGCUGAGUGGAAUGGCUAACAUCAGUUGUUUCUGCCAACGGGCCUCAGAAACCUCUUCUUCACUCCUCACCUGGCCUCUCCUUUGGGGCAAAUAACAUUUGUGUUUAUGACACUGUC
This is a non-coding RNA of Cricetulus griseus (Chinese hamster), 1142 nucleotides long. The record is from RefSeq and is a predicted model, not a curated record. NCBI's taxonomy places the organism in Eukaryota, Metazoa, Chordata, Mammalia, Rodentia, Cricetidae.